Molecule: unclassified non-coding RNA, 370 nt
Filed under: fungal sp.
Lineage: Eukaryota; Fungi
Description: partial internal transcribed spacer region
Rfam family: Eukaryotic small subunit ribosomal RNA (bases 1-46)
Source: RNAcentral
AAGUCGUAACAAGGUUUCCGUAGGUGAACCUGCGGAAGGAUCAUUAUUACGUAUCCACGUAUCAAACCAAAUCGUGAACUGUUUCCCGUCUGAUGAGGAUUUCUGCGAGUGUUUGAACAUUUAUUAAAUGCAUGGUGAGGACUCCUAGUCGCAAGACUGGUUUCUUCGAAAUGGCACUCGGUCCUGGUUACCCUCUCGGGGCUUCAGCCAGCUCAUUAGAUGUGGUUGAAUUUCAAUCACUAUGCUAAAACUAUUAACCCCUUGUAAAACACUUGAACUAAAUUACGGAGACAAGACCCUUAACCAGGAAACUAUCUCUGAUAAACCGAAACUUAAGAAACAACUCUUAACAACGGAUAUCUUGGUUCUC